AUUGAACGCUGCCGGCAGGCCUAACACAUGCACGUCGAACGAUUGGCGGACGGGUGCGUAAUGUCUGGGAAACUGCCUGAUGGAGGGGGCUAACUACUGGAAACGGUAGCUAAUACCGCAUACCAUCAGAUGUGCCCAGAUGGGAUUAGCUGGUCGGUGGGGUAACGGCGCACCAAGGCGACGAUCCCUAGCUGGUCUGAGAGGAGAGCCAGCCACGCUGGAACUGAGCUCCGGUCCAGACUCCUACGUGAGUAAGCAGUUGGGAAUAUUGCACAUUGGGUGCAAGUCAGAUGCAGCCUUGCCGCGUGUAUGAAGAUGGCCUGCGGGUUGUAAAGUACUUUCAGCCUGGAGGCGUUGCCCGCAGAAGGAGCACCGGCUAACUCCGUGCCAGCAGCCGCGGUAAUUC
This 406-nucleotide ribosomal RNA is filed under the name uncultured bacterium. Its description in RNAcentral is "partial 16S ribosomal RNA". It matches the Rfam family "Bacterial small subunit ribosomal RNA", at positions 30 to 526 of the family's 1533-position model. The record is from RNAcentral.